Molecule: long non-coding RNA, 606 nt
Organism: Diceros bicornis minor
Lineage: Eukaryota; Metazoa; Chordata; Mammalia; Perissodactyla; Rhinocerotidae
Exons: 2
Source: RefSeq, a predicted model, not a curated record
GAGGUCACAUUGGAUUUAAAAAGCCAACAGAAAUUGAUGCCUUCCUUGGCCACCAGCCCUCCAAAAGAAAUCAGCUCCCUUGUGUUCUCCGUUUAAUUUGGAAGAGAUUGGUUUGGAAGAGCAGCUAAGGGCCCCCCCUAAACAGCCUCUUAGAAGCUGGUGUGAUUAGCAGAUGGCACCUGAGGUGUAGGAUCUGAAGUCUAGCCACGGCGUGUUGAUGAUGAGGAUGUGAUGGCGAUGAUUAUUCGCUCCUUAAUCCAUCUUUAACCACAUCAUUAGAAUUGACAAUUGUUUAUUGAAGUCUCACUUCAUGAAGUACAAGCUAGGUGAUUCUUUUUUGAAAAUAAUCCUGUGGGCCUAAAGUAUGUAGACCUCGUGUGGCUAAAAACGACCCACUUCCCUGUGCUUACUCCUAAUUACUUUCUUAUUUGUUUGAACUUAUUAAUGGAGUAAAUCCAACUUUGAAGUCAUUCAUUGAAGGCAAACUCUAACUAUUUAAUGAAAUAAAAAUCUGGUACAUUUUCAUCCUCAGCAAGUUUUAUAUUAUUGACAGUUGGUUUUCUAUUUAAUCAGGGAGUAGAAAUAAAAAUUUCUUUUCUAAACAGG